This is a non-coding RNA of Gossypium hirsutum (cotton), 145 nucleotides long. The record is from Rfam. Lineage: Eukaryota; Viridiplantae; Streptophyta; Magnoliopsida; Malvales; Malvaceae.
UGUUAAAAAAUCUACCUAUUUAUAUUGUUAAAAACUGGUUUGGUCAAUGAAAUAAUUGAACAAUGACACAUAACAUGCUAUAUAGACCUCAUGCUGAUAUACAAUGACUAAUUUUUAAUAGUAAAAAUAAUUAAAAUUUUUAAUA